UUCAGUUGACGAGUCCGAAAUAGGACGAAACGUGCGUUCUGCAA
This 44-nucleotide non-coding RNA is filed under the name Schistosoma haematobium. Lineage: Eukaryota; Metazoa; Platyhelminthes; Trematoda; Strigeidida; Schistosomatidae. The record is from RNAcentral.